CCAUUACCAUUGUCCAUUUAGUAAAUUUAUCAUUUUUACACGUUCAGGGACCUUCAUGAGGCAUUUAAAAGGCAGACAUGGUAAGUGUAUUGAUGUGGCACUUAGAUACAUUUUAAACUUUAAUUAAUCCAUAAUGUGAUCCACUCGCAUGUGUGUCCGUGUGUUUGGGAUAGGUGGGGCGAUUGUUUUUACUGUUUAGGUAAAAAUACGUACCGGAUGUAGGCACAAACAUAUCACAAUUAAAGUUAUAACAACAAUCAUUUUUUUCUGUAUGCUAUACAAUAUACACAAAUUUUUGCACCGAAACCCAUUCAUUUAUUGUCAGUGAGCCACAGAGACCCCACAUAUAUGCGAUAAAUAGCAGUGGUUAUGAUUUGAACUGGUAUGGGUCACCCUAUAAUACUCUUUAGGGUGCAUGACCAUUAUAAUUAUCUAAUGCCAGUGCUGUAUUUUAACAAUUUCUAUCUCCUGUAGGUAUCGAAUCAGCCAAAAAGCAAGGUAAUAUGUUUUUUUUUAUUACUUUAUACCUACAUUCAUUUAUGAUCAACAAUCUUAGAAUAGUACUUUAGUUAGUCUUCCAGGAGAAUAUGUACUGUGGUGUCUUUCAGAUGUGUAUGACAUAUUGUAAAAAUAAACAGUUUGCCAUAAUAUUGCUGUUGAUGUAAAUAACCUCAGUGGUUUUGGUUCUGCAUAUCUAGUGCUUUGGGACAUCAAACAAUCAAUAAAUUAUUGCCGUCCUAUAAACGCACCGUCGGCUGCAUGUCUUGGCAGGUGGCACAAACAGACUAAACAUCAUAUUUUGUCAGCAUGUACUGCUAGGAUAUGCUAUCCCUAUUUGUUAUUACACAUUAGAGCCAAAACUACAUUCUGAUGAAGUUUGUGAAAACAGUUGUAUAGAAAACCUUCAUAUUAAAAGGGUUAUGUUUGUAUUGACAGCUGUGAUAAUAUAUCUUGUUUUUGCAGAGAAGCCAAGCACUUCAAAGCCAACACAGAUGACUCCAUAAAUGAUACAAAUCAACAGUUCUGCUUGUCCACAUAGCACAGCCGUGCAAAGUGCCCCAAAAAAAUUAAAAAGACAUAAAGAGAUGUACAUAAUCUUGAUACAUCUCCCAUGAUGUGUAUUGACAUAAGAAACGGAAUCUACGUCACUGCAAAGUACGACCAGUCAGUUUUUUCCAAUUCAUGUGAUCAAAUCCACCACAACUCGAUUGUGAGGUGGAGAUGUGUACGUUCAUUCCAGGAUUGCCUGGUCAUCAUGAAGCAGUCCUGCAAACUACUUCACUGCAGGACAUGGUUAGCAAAGGCCUAAUGUCAUCUGAGUUGGGUGACAACUGUGAACAUGUUGCCACCAAUGACGAGAGUCGAUAGUGUUUCCUAUCUUCUUCUAUCUCCUCAAGGGUGACGUUUAAUUCAGUGGGAGGACAGUGGAACUGUCAGUGGUGGGGAACUGGUCGAUUGCACCGCUGCAUCCAUCGUAUGAUUGGAAUGUGGUGGAUUUUCCAGCAGUCCCCAGGCACACUGGCAUCCUCGGACAUCCAAAUGAAGGACAUUGCUGACUUGGAAACUCACAUGGUGGAAAGCCGCAACCUCAACACACAAAACAUCUGUGUAAUGACUGAGUACCUGGCAACAAAAAAGCGGAUCCCAUGUCUGAAAGACUUGCCUGUGAAGCUGAGGACUCAGGAGGAACAGCCACCAGAAUGUUUUGUGCCUUCUGAAAGUACCUGGCCCCACACCUCCAGCACUGAAUCCUUUAAAGAUUAUCACCACUCAGGCAAUGGUGUACGGGAUAAGCUAUGUCCAUAAAAGGUAAAUCAACAAUUAUUUCUUACAUGGAUGUUCCCCUGAUGAGAUCACAUUAUAUCUGGGCCUCAACAACCAGACUGCUAAAGAAGCUUUGUGUAUGCAUGAAAUCAACUUUUAAUUUUCUUAAUACGUGUUUCAGUUGCGGAAAAACAUUGCCCGACGUGUGCCAACGUUGUGAGAUUCCAGGAUUAUUCUCCCAGAUUUCACAGCUUUAACAACCGUGUGAUCUUAACACUGCCAUUGUGUGAGCUUCUCCGGUCGGGUUUGUCGGUAAGACGCCUGUUAAUGUUUUUUUUGCACUUUAGUCAAAGACAAGUGUCUUUCAUGAAAAGGUUAAGCACAUUAAAGCAUGUACUAAUGGAUAACAAGACAACCAGUGGACGGAUGCUUGACACUGUCAUUUUUCAAUGACAACCGGUACCACCAUCAAAUAGUGAGGAGAGCAUUCCAUCACUUCCACCACCUACCAGUGUGGACACCACCCAGCGUCAUUGUAGCAGAAGCAAAUUGGAAACUGGCCUUCGAUGUCCCUCGUAAGAAUAUUUUAGCUUUCUGUUACAUCUCCCUACUAAAAUUAAAAUUAUAAUGAUGAAGAUUUCAACACAUGCAAAUAUGUGCCUGUAUUAAGGGUGUUAGAUUUACAAGGGCUCUAUAAUAAAUGACUUGCUUGUACAUUCCGGUUUUGUAUAAUGGUCAAUCUUGUUUAAUUUAAACAAAGUUAGGGGUUAUGUUUUUCUAUAAGAGUUCUAUGUUCAGCACAGCUUUGUAAUUAUGUAAACAAAUUCAUUUGCAGUUGGGACAUUUAAAAGGCCUGAUCCAGACACCAUAGCGGACAAGGACCUACAGGUGGACAUUGUCAAGGCGUGGUCGGAUCUGGACCGUUCACAAAUUGCUGAGGGCCUCAUAUCAGCCACAGAAAAAGGAUCUCCAGGAAGCUUGUGACACCCUGGGUGUCUCCUCAGAGGGGUCCAUAGCCGACAUGCUGAACAGGCUUCAGGAAUUAUUAAACUUCAAAGAUGUUUACCCAAAGCUGUUUGUGAAACUGCUGGUGGUGAGAUCUUAUUUGUGAAAAUUCUUCUUUUUACAUUCUAUAAACUUUAGUUAUAUGAUUGCCAUUUAAAAUCUUUUAUUCUGAAGGUUGAGUACUUCACUUCAGCUGUCCACAUGGCGUUGUGUAUUACGUCAACAUUCUCUUCUGGACAGAGUCCGCAAGAGAUCACGCGGACGGGCUGCUGAGUUUUAAACACUUCCCUACCUGUUACAUUUCGGACGUUGCAGGACAGGUUGCUCGUCACGCACAAAACAGCAAUAUUUCCAGCCAUUUGACGGAAGACUCUGUGGCACAACAUCAAACAACAUGAAACUGGCGGCUGAUAAACAAUUAAAAAGGUUGACCUGCAGUGGGUGAAGAACCUGCGAUCAACAUUACCACUGCAGGAAAUGCCAGAUAAUGAUAGGAUGGCAGCAAGGCAUCCCAUUAGGUACUCUCUGUACGACAGAUUCCACCAGAAAAAUCAAAGAAGGCCUGAAGAGAAGUUGAGAAGCCUCAACAUCUGCCCCAGUUUACGGAGAGAGGUGAACUCAUCUGUUGCAGAGCAGUUCAAUCGUGAACUUUCUUCCGUAAAAUAUUCAUUGUGCCAAAUGAACGAGCCACACGUCAAACAAACCUUAAGGGUGCUCAUCGAACUGCAUAAUGAAAGGAUAAACACAACCUUCAAAGCACAAAUGGAGGACAUGUGCAACACACAGUUGUACGUUUGACUUCAUGGGAUGCUGGGACUGCAGUCUGCCGGUAAGUUUGAUUAGUAUAUACUAGGCUAUAGUAAUUCUAAAUAAUACUUGAUCAAAUAUACAGGUUAACCCAUAUUUUUAAUUGUUGAGGAUCGCAAUUAUUACUUUGUUUUUCUUUGUUAGAAGCAAAGGAAAAUCCACUUCCUUCGGUGGGCCAAAACAUCGAACAUAAACAAAUGAAGUCGUCAUUCGUUGCACGAUCCUAUGCAAUCACUGUAAAGGACCAGGUAAUCUGUAAAUAUGUGUUAUUUCUUGUUUGUCCAAAAUGAAGCAAUACAUUUUUGAUUUGUAUCAUUUUGUUAUCAUGUGUGUGUGUUAAGGAAAAACUCAAACUAUUCACAGGAUGCCGUGCCGAAACUGCAACUAUAGUUGAAAUAUUGAGGCUAUAUGCAGUGUCUUUAAAAGACAUUGAGUGUUUGCCCACCAGAACUGUUGGGGCUGACUGAUGAUGUAAGGGUACCACAAUGACAACCAUAAUGUCAGUUACAGCAGAAUUUAAAGACCGAACGGUUUUUAUCAGAAUCUCAGAAAUGUACUUAAUCUUCCUAUUGAAUUCCAGGCAGUCAACUAUCGAGUAGCACUGCUGGCUCAAGAAAACCAGGUAACUGUAAAAUUAUCCAUUUAUUAUUAUUUUAUAUUGAUGCUUUUAUAUGUUCACACACAUUAAUUACAUGUUCUGUUGAAGUGUGGUGCUUUGGGUACCUGUUGAUUUCAUUUUGUGGCACCGACAAUGGAACAACAGUGGAGCAGUCAGUGACAGUUGUUAAAUGCAUUCCUGUAGGUACUUUUAAUAAUGGUCUAUGCAUAAUGAAACAAAUUGUAC
This is a long non-coding RNA of Gasterosteus aculeatus aculeatus (three-spined stickleback), 4420 nucleotides long. NCBI's taxonomy places the organism in Eukaryota, Metazoa, Chordata, Actinopteri, Perciformes, Gasterosteidae. The record is from Ensembl.